CUCUGGGUGAAGAGCGCCAAGGAUUUGAGCCCUGCCCACCGUGGACCCAUCUGGAUACUCACCAGGGCCCUUAGAGGCCCUUCUGUGCAUCUCCAAGCAUCCCUUGAACGUGGUUUGCAAAUGUACAGGGUGGUGAAAAGAACUCAGGCUCCAAGUUGGGAAAUGGUGUGCGUCCCUGCUUGGCUGUUAACUACCUGAGUGACCUGGGGCAAGUGAAACAAUCCACUCACUCUGUCAGCUUCAUGCCCACACCCGCCGGAACCGGAGACCAAGCCAUGACAGUGCCUGCACCUCCAGUGGAGAAUUACUCAGAUGUCCCCUCCCUCUCAUCUACUCAGAAUGCCCUUUCUCAGCAGCUUCCUGCGUACUGUGGUUGGGCUGUUUAUCUGGGUGGCCAUGCACCUCCGAUAUCAGCAGAGAAGAUUGCUGCCCCCAACGCCAUCAUCCUCUCCGGUGGAAUCUCACUCUGGUCUGGGCGACAAUGUGCUACUUGAGAACACUUGCUUCCCAGACUCCCUUGCAUCUAGGGGCGGCCACAGGACUCUACAGCUGAGUCAUCAGCAGAAGUCAGCGCGGCGUGGCUUUCAGCAAUUCAACUGCUUUCCUGAUGAAAAAAAGAAAAGGUAGAUUCUGUGGCCACACGCCUUCUGCCCUUUCCUCUUCCUUUCUGCCGGAAAUGUGGAUGUGACGUCUGCAGGCAGAACAGUCACCUCGCAGCGUGAGGCAGAAGGACGGGCUGGUAGAGGUGGGAGGCAGGCACUCAGGCAGCACUGGGGACAGCAUUUUACCGAGCUACAAGGACUGGGCCAAUGCGGCAGCAGUGUCUUUCUCAGUGAGUGCGCCCUCCUUGGAGAGCUGGAUAGAGGUGGGGUCUUGGAGCCAUUAACACCCAUCCUGCCUGGGAUGGUGAGAAAGGGAAAUCCAAAGAGGUUGUUCUCAGCAGCGGCCUGUGAAGGGCUAAUGCGCCAGUCACCUUGCCUGUCUUACCCAGCUCCUUGUAAUAAAUAUUAUCCUAAUAAUCUUUCUCCCAUGACCUUGCCUCUGUCUCCCAAACGAUUUCUAUAGUCUCAAUAUUUGGCUGUAGCUUUGAGAAAAUUUUCUUACUACUAUUCUUCGUUUAUUUUGCAGUUCUCCAAAGAUAUUCUUCUGGUAGCUUUUUGUCAUUUGUCAUUCUGUUUUCUCUAUUCCUUGUGUGUCAUCAUUAUUUCUUGCUUUGUUCUGUCAUAUGCUCACUCCCUGAAAUUUGAUCUACCCUUCAAGGUCUGUCUCAGAUGCUUUUACGAAACCAGCCUGGAUGGAGACAUUUCCCUUCUCUGGAACCCCACAGCACUUAGUUUCUGUGGUUUCUGUGAUCAUCAGCAAACCGGCAUGUGCUAGAUUAGACCUAUUCCUUUUAUUACCAUUUAGGUUCCUUAAGGCAGGGAUUGUCUUGUCCUUAGCCCUGCCCUUGGCACAUUCUACUUGCUUGAUAAAUAUUCAUUGAAUUCAAGUGGAAAUUCCAACUUGGGACGAGAAGACAGACACACUAAGCAGGAUGCAUUUAAAUAAAGUGGAGAUCAUUUUCCUUGAGAAAUGCCUCCUCUACAGGCCUUUGCCACACAAAUAUAAGACUGGAAAGAAAAAAAAAAGGCAUGGCUGAAAACCACGUGCUCAGAGAACUCUUCUUCAGGAGAAACACAAGCUACAAAAGAAAUCACUAUCACCUCUCAUCACCUGUAAUAGGGAAAUUCUGAAUACCUCUUUCCUGGAGGCCCACUGAGUCAGAGGUUCACACCGGGUUAGAGCAGGAAGGAGCCUGAGAGGGAGUGCUUGAAGAUACAGGAGGGGGCAGGAUGGCUAACAGGUGAGGCCUGGGGAGAAGAUCGAGGAUGGAUAUUAAGGCCGGGAAGAGCGAUUGGCCUGGAACAAGAGGGAUAUUCUGCCUACUCUCUGAGAUUGAGCCGGAAGGCAUAUUGAUCAGGUGGAUUUAGAUUGUUUUCGGGGGUAGUAGAGGAAGUAAGGAACAUUCUGCUCAGUUACUUCAAAGAUCAAUUGCUAGAGAGAUGAAAGGAGGAAUCCUUGAGGUUAAGGUGGAUAAGAUGCUUUCACCCACAGGGAGGAUUUGGAGGAAGCAGGGCAGGUUUUAGCCGAGCUGUAUACAGAGGAGAAACUGGGCAAAACCCAUAAAACAAGAGAAUGGGAUCUGGGAUGGAGAAAAGAAAGACCCACUUCUUCCUUCUUCUGUUCAGUCUGACUAGAUGGGUUUGGGUAGAUUCUGGAAUCUAAUGGAUUUUCUAUCCUUCAAACUCUGUGCCAUCCUAUAUUUGCUAAACAUAUUCUUUAUAUAACACACAAGACGUAAUAUAAGCACUGAGCAGGGCAGGACCGAGGCGAAAACAACCCAGCACCUUGGAAUUCUGUCAUUUAACCAGUUCCAGAUUCUCCUAACUGUAUAGUUACCAAUUCCAGAUUUCUCCAUUUAUUCCAGAAGGAUAUAAUUUGAGAUGUCAUGAAAUGCCUUAAUCACAUGCAGACCAUUGGUCUACUAUAGUGCCCCUUUCUAUAAGUCUUAACCCUGACAAGACAACAUGAAUGAGGACAGUCUGACAUGACCUGCCUUUGCUGAGCCCCAUGAGCUCCUGGGGGCCACAAUGACUUCUCCUAAGGCCUCACAAGACACCUUUUUGUAUCUCAUUUGAGGAUUUUUGCCUAUGGUCAUUGUCAAGGCCACCAAUUUGUAAUUUUCAACAUUCACCUUUUGUCCAUCUUUGGAAGUCAAAACUACCUCUGGCCUUCUAACACCUGUCUGCCUUUUCAUGAUUCCUCAACGAUCAUUGAUGGUGACUUGGUGAUACUGAGUGUACAAGUGAUACUUUUUUUUUUUUUUUUUUGGUACUCUGACAUGUAAUCCUUUCAUAGUAGGAAGGGUGAACACAUUUAGGGCUGCUACAGUUUCUCUUAUCUUCUUUUGUUAGGCGUUGGUUUCUGAUCCCUGCUUACCAGUAGUCAUCCCACCCUUCCCACUCAAAGGCCAUGCUUCUUAUUGAGAAGCUGGAAGCACUCAAAGGAUUCUGCUCUCCAUGUCUCGUCUGGGAACACUGUACAAGUGGCCAUGAGUGAGGGAUGUAUAUCCCUUUGUCCUUUUUCCUUUUGUCAUGAUCGGUUGCACAUCAUCUGAGACCAAACUUCCUUAUCUUUUCCUGUAGGGAUCCCGAUACUAUCAAGCUCAAUGCCCUGGCAUUCCUUAUGCUGCGACUGAUAUAUUCUCAUGGGGAAAUGGUGACGGGGAUUAAAAGGAAGGGGAAUAGCUCUAAGAGGACCCAUUCACACGUUCUCCAACUGCAAAGGCCCUGCUCAAGCGGGGUACUUGCAUGUUUCCAAUUUACUUGGCCACCAGAGGGCAUAACUGAAUGCGUUUAAAUAAGAAAAAAAAGAGGAAGUCGGCCAUUCCAGACAGCAACAGCAAAGUCACUAGUUACAGGUACCCCUGCUUUUUGCAAGUUUGAGUUAUGCCAUUUCACGUUUACAAAGGACCUAACCGAAGGAAAUCUGAAGAGGAUUUUUGCUUCUAUCGGAAAAAAGUGAAAAGUGAAAGUAGCAGUCAGCACUGAUUUCCCGUGAGCCCUUACGGAAGCAGCAGGCCCCACGAGCAAGGGGAGUGGCGCCACCAAGCGCCUUCCAAGGGAAUUACACUCAGCGUUUCAGCAUCUCCCCACGGAACUGUGUCUGUGAGCAUCUGUGCUUUAUCUGGAUUUAUUCUGUACAUUCGUUAGCACGAUGCGUCCUAAAGUAUCAGAAAAGCCUAAGAGAGGUUAUUUUUUGGGUCUUGGGAUGCUAAAAUUUUUCCCAUAUAAAUUAAUGUUAACUGUUUCUUCACUUUAUGCCAUUUUUGGCUUCCAAAAGUUUUCAUAGCAAGGCUCUAUUUUUGGCCAGGGAGGGAAACCUGUAAUCAAUGCUGAAAAAGCCCACAAGAAAGCAUAUUUCACGUGUCUUUUCUAAGUGUCAGUUGAUAUUUUGAUGUGCUUUUCUUGCCAUCAAGGUACAGAUAAAUUCCUUUCUUAACCUAAAAAUGACAGAUAGGGGCCUCCUGACCCUGUUUAGCCUAGAUUUUCCUUCCCUGCCUUGUGUAUAGAAAGCCACCUGGGAGUAAGAACUGGAGGCGGGCUUAUCUUUAUCUGCAUCUAACAUGUACUUCUCCGGGCUUUAGAUGGCUCACCAGUGAGCUAUUGAAUACCAGAGUAGCAGAAAAGGUCAGUGAAGAAUUAUUGCUAAUAUUAGCAUUAUUGGACUAAAAUACGUAUCCCAUUUUGUGAAGAGAAGUGCUGACUGUCCUGUGGUGUCUGAAGAUGAGUACAGUUGGCCCCUGCAUAUUAGCCUGUCUCUUUUGGUUACAUCCAUAUUGGAUUUGGCACAUGUGGGAUCUCGAGUCCAAGUCCCACAGGGAGAUGGAGAUCCCAGGAGAGGUUCUUGCCUGAAGCCCCAGGAAACCCCCAACGUCCAGAUGCGUGGAUAAAGACAGAGCUCCCAGGAAAUUUUGAAAGCAAAAUUCCUUUAAAAACUUUGUUGAUUGUGAGGAAUAAGUUAAAAUGGAAAAUCUUCCUGAUAACAUCCUGGCUCAUUUCUAAAAUUUUUUUAAAAGAUUUUACGUUUAAGUUAUCUCUGUACCCAACAAGGGACUCGAGCUCAUGACUCCGAGGGGAUCAGGAGUCUCAGGCACCCCUCACUCGGUUCUUACAUAAGGGAAGAUACUGAGGUUUGCUGAAGAGAGAAGGAGAAAGCAACAUAAUGGGAACCAUGUUGCAAAAGUAUAAAUUGCUCCCUGAUCAUUACCGGGAUCUUGGUGACCUGAUAAAAUGACUGGUGUCCAAAGCAGAGCAACGUACCCUUGUUUUAAGCCGGAAAUUUGAACCACAGAGAAAGAGAGAUGCACACCACAAGGUGGUGCAGGGGUGGAUUGGAGAAGUCAAGACUGGUAUCAGGGAAAAUAGUUGGAGGGUAUUGAAACUGUCUCAAUGAGAGCUGAUGAAUUAAGACAACCACCAAAGGGCAGCCGGGGACAGAAGGGGGACAGAUUUCAGGGGAGGAAGGACAGAUAUAAGGCCGAGGGAGAGGGAGAAUGACUGGAGAGAACACCACUGCCAGUGGCCUGACCCCAAGACCUGUGUUCUUUUCUGAGAUGUCAUGUUGCCCUGUCAUAGCACGAGGACUGCACUUUAGUCCAACUCUUUGAUUUUAUAGCAAAAGAAGGAAAUUAAAACCCAGGAAAUGGAAUCCAUCAUCUAUGGCUGAACUGCAAGAUGAUGGAAAAGCAUGCGCAGAAGCCAAGUCUCUUCCCAGAUCCAACCUUUUCCCACGGGUUCACAUCAGAACUUGCAUGCUCGAACUACCUGAGGGGCCUUUCCAAACACACGCAAUGACAUAUGAUUGUAGCCAUCCUAACAGGUGUGCAGUGGCAUAAAGCCUUUCUAGAACAUAGGUUUACUAAAGAUUUUGAUCUCCCCUACCACACACUUUGCAUAAAGUCUUAAGUUCCUUAAUCACAAUGCUUUCAUCCAAAGAGAAUAUUAGAAUGGUUACAGAAGGAAUACUCUAUUGUCCUUUUAACAAUCUUUACCAACUAAAAAGAGAGAGAGGGAGAGAGCCAUCGAGAGAGGGAACACAAGCAGGGAGAGUGGGAGAGG
Long non-coding RNA from Ailuropoda melanoleuca (giant panda), 5660 nucleotides. RefSeq lists it as uncharacterized. NCBI's taxonomy places the organism in Eukaryota, Metazoa, Chordata, Mammalia, Carnivora, Ursidae. The record is from RefSeq and is a predicted model, not a curated record. The transcript has 4 exons.